GUGAAUCAUCGAAUCUUUGAACGCACCUUGCGCUCCUUGGUAUUCCGAGGAGCAUGCCCGUUUGAGUGUCGUGAUAUCAUCAGGCCGACCCCCUCCUUUGCUGGCGGGGGUUAUGCUUGGACUUGGAUGUGCUGCCGGACGGCGACGCCCGGCUCAUCCCAAAUGCAUUAGCUGGAUUUAAUCCUGGCUUGGACUUUUGUUCUCACUCGGCGUUGAUUAAGAUCACCCGUCGAGGACGUCCCUCGCCCCAUGGACCGGCCUUCCAACCCGUCCCCUUGCGGACAGAUCACUUUGACAAUCUGACCUCAAAUUCGGGUAGGACUACCCGCUGAACUUAAGCAUAUCAAUAAGCGGAGG
RNAcentral lists this ribosomal RNA (357 nucleotides) under uncultured fungus. RNAcentral's name for it is "eukaryotic LSU rRNA". The stretch from base 1 to 71 matches the Rfam family "5.8S ribosomal RNA", at positions 84 to 154 of the family's 154-position model. Lineage: Eukaryota; Fungi. The record is from RNAcentral.